Molecule: ribosomal RNA, 987 nt
Filed under: Macrophomina phaseolina
Lineage: Eukaryota; Fungi; Ascomycota; Dothideomycetes; Botryosphaeriales; Botryosphaeriaceae
Description: SSU rRNA
Rfam family: Eukaryotic small subunit ribosomal RNA
Source: RNAcentral
UACAUGCUAAAAACCGCGACUUCGGAAGCGGUGUAUUUAUUAGAUAAAAAACCAAUGCCCUUCGGGGCUCCUUGGUGAUUCAUGAUAACUUAACGAAUCGCAUGGCCUUGCGCCGGCGAUGGUUCAUUCAAAUUUCUGCCCUAUCAACUUUCGAUGGUAGGAUAGUGGCCUACCAUGGUAUCAACGGGUAACGGGGAAUUAGGGUUCUAUUCCGGAGAGGGAGCCUGAGAAACGGCUACCACAUCCAAGGAAGGCAGCAGGCGCGCAAAUUACCCAAUCCCGACACGGGGAGGUAGUGACAAUAAAUACUGAUACAGGGCUCUUUUGGGUCUUGUAAUUGGAAUGAGUACAAUUUAAAUACCUUAACGAGGAACAAUUGGAGGGCAAGUCUGGUGCCAGCAGCCGCGGUAAUUCCAGCUCCAAUAGCGUAUAUUAAAGUUGUUGCAGUUAAAAAGCUCGUAGUUGAACCUUGGGCCUGGCUGGCCGGUCCGCCUCACCGCGUGUACUGGUCCGGCCGGGCCUUUCCUUCUGGGGAUCCGCAUGCCCUUCACUGGGUGUGUCGGGGAACCAGGACUUUUACUUUGAAAAAAUUAGAGUGUUCAAAGCAGGCCUUUGCUCGAAUACAUUAGCAUGGAAUAAUAGAAUAGGACGUGCGGUCCUAUUUUGUUGGUUUCUAGGACCGCCGUAAUGAUUAAUAGGGAUAGUCGGGGGCAUCAGUAUUCAAUUGUCAGAGGUGAAAUUCUUGGAUUUAUUGAAGACUAACUACUGCGAAAGCAUUUGCCAAGGAUGUUUUCAUUAAUCAGUGAACGAAAGUUAGGGGAUCGAAGACGAUCAGAUACCGUCGUAGUCUUAACCGUAAACUAUGCCGACUAGGGAUCGGGCGAUGUUAUUCUUUUGACUCGCUCGGCACCUUACGAGAAAUCAAAGUCUUUGGGUCUGGGGGGGAGUAUGGUCGCAAGGCUGAAACUUAAAGGAAUUGACGGAAGA